AUUGAACGCUGGCGGCAGGCCUAACACAAUGCAAGUCGAACGGUAACAGGAAGCAGCUUGCUGCUUCGCUGACGAGUGGCGGACGGGUGAGUAAUGUCUGGGAAACUGCCUGAUGGAGGGGGAUAACUACUGGAAACGGUAGCUAAUACCGCAUAACGUCGCAAGACCAAAGAGGGGGACCUUCGGGCCUCUUGCCAUCAGAUGUGCCCAGAUGGGAUUAGCUUGUUGGUGGGGUAACGGCUCACCAAGGCGACGAUCCCUAGCUGGUCUGAGAGGAUGACCAGCCACACUGGAACUGAGACACGGUCCAGACUCCUACGGGAGGCAGCAGUGGGGAAUAUUGCACAAUGGGCGCAAGCCUGAUGCAGCCAUGCCGCGUGUAAUGAAGAAGGCCUUCGGGUUGUAAAGUACUUUCAGCGGGGAGGAAGGUGUUGUGGUUAAUAACCGCAGCAAUUGACGUUACCCGCAGAAGAAGCACCGGCUAACUCCGUGCCAGCAGCCGC
Molecule: ribosomal RNA, 503 nt
Filed under: uncultured bacterium
Lineage: Bacteria
Description: bacterial SSU rRNA
Rfam family: Bacterial small subunit ribosomal RNA
Source: RNAcentral